This 424-nucleotide ribosomal RNA is filed under the name uncultured Coprobacter sp. RNAcentral's name for it is "bacterial SSU rRNA". It matches the Rfam family "Bacterial small subunit ribosomal RNA", at positions 338 to 758 of the family's 1533-position model. Lineage: Bacteria; Pseudomonadati; Bacteroidota; Bacteroidia; Bacteroidales; Barnesiellaceae. The record is from RNAcentral.
CCUACGGGAGGCAGCAGUGGGGAAUAUUGCACAAUGGGCGCAAGCCUGAUGCAGCGACGCCGCGUGAGGGAUGAAGGCCUUCGGGUUGUAAACCUCUUUCGUCAGGGAACAAGGCAUUGCCUUUUUUGGUGGUGUUGAGGGUACCUGGAUAAGAAGCGCCGGCUAACUACGUGCCAGCAGCCGCGGUAAUACGUAGGGCGCAAGCGUUGUCCGGAAUUAUUGGGCGUAAAGAGCUCGUAGGCGGCUGGUCGCGUCUGUCGUGAAAACUUCCGGCUCAACCGGGGGCUUGCGGUGGGUACGGGCCGGCUAGAGUGCGGUAGGGGUAACUGGAACUCCUGGUGUAGCGGUGGAAUGCGCAGAUAUCAGGAAGAACACCGAUGGCGAAGGCAGGUUACUGGGCCGUUACUGACGCUGAGGAGCGAAA